Molecule: long non-coding RNA, 859 nt
Organism: Haemorhous mexicanus (house finch)
Lineage: Eukaryota; Metazoa; Chordata; Aves; Passeriformes; Fringillidae
Exons: 2
Source: RefSeq, a predicted model, not a curated record
AUGAACACAAAGUAGACGUUGGCCAGGCGGUGGAACUGCUCGAAGAGGUUCUUGGGCAGGAAGGACAGUGCCGUGUACUUGGUGGUCUUGAGCCGGUUGCAGGCCAGGACCGUCCCCUUGGACUUCUCCGGCUCGGCCUCAGUGCUCCGAGACUGUGCUCAAGAAGCCUCUUACAAGCAGAGAAGACUUCAUUUAUAACUGAAAUCCUGGGACCUCUCGGCUGGAACGGAGCAGGCGGAUAACAGCGCCAGUAACACAGCUCAGCAGCUCUCUGAGAGAAACUGAAGAAUACCAGAUCUAAUGGAAGCAACAAGGGAUAGUUAACUACUGCAGCAAGAACCUAAUUGUUUAUGCUGGAGACUGGCCAGGACGCUAGGGUUAACAUUUCUUCUCUAACAAAGCACAUGCUGGGACCUUUAAAUGGCUACUGCUAGUUAUAAUUACCCCAAAUAAUACUGUCUAAACCAACUUUUACUAUCACAUCACAGUAUCAACUUUUCUAUUAUUAAUGCAGCCUUCAGAAUGGUCUUUUUGCAGUUUGCCACACAACAAAGUAAUUCACAGAAUGCUAAUAAAGCUGUACCCAAACUGCUUCAAAUCAGUGGAUUGAGCAUGAAAAAAGUCCAAAAUAAAUAUAACUCCUACUUUCAGAUGAGUUUUAUUUUUAGCAAAAUCUAAAAAUGUCACAAAAUAUAACUUGAGUAGAAAAAUAGUGCAAAUGGGUAGGUGGAUUUGGCUGGUGAAUUGAAUUUAGCUCUACUGUCCUGAGUCUGUAAAGAAAGAAAACAGAUUGAAAUUUCUCCUCUACUGUGUUGUACAGUGGCUGGAAAGAUUUCUAUAAACUUUGGGGAAUAAGGUA